RNAcentral lists this ribosomal RNA (1266 nucleotides) under Halomonas sp. NIMD26. RNAcentral describes it as "bacterial SSU rRNA". The stretch from base 1 to 819 matches the Rfam family "Bacterial small subunit ribosomal RNA", at positions 745 to 1533 of the family's 1533-position model. The record is from RNAcentral. Lineage: Bacteria; Pseudomonadati; Pseudomonadota; Gammaproteobacteria; Oceanospirillales; Halomonadaceae.
GCUGAGGUACGAAAGCGUGGGUAGCAAACAGGAUUAGAUACCCUGGUAGUCCACGCCGUAAACGAUGUCGACUAGCCGUUGGGGUCCUCGAGACCUUUGUGGCGCAGUUAACGCACUAAGUCGACCGCCUGGGGAGUACGGCCGCAAGGUUAAAACUCAAAUGAAUUGACGGGGGCCCGCACAAGCGGUGGAGCAUGUGGUUUAAUUCGAUGCAACGCGAAGAACCUUACCUACCCUUGACAUCGUGCGAACUUUCCAGAGAUGGAUUGGUGCCUUCGGGAGCGCACAGACAGGUGCUGCAUGGCUGUCGUCAGCUCGUGUUGUGAAAUGUUGGGUUAAGUCCCGUAACGAGCGCAACCCUUGUCCCUAUUUGCCAGCGAUUCGGUCGGGAACUCUAGGGAGACUGCCGGUGACAAACCGGAGGAAGGUGGGGACGACGUCAAGUCAUCAUGGCCCUUACGGGUAGGGCUACACACGUGCUACAAUGGCCGGUACAAUGGGUUGCAAAGCAGUCGACGUGGAGACUAGAUCUCAUAAAGCUUGUCUCAGUCCGGAUCGGCGUCUGCAGCGUCGGACUGGGUGAAGUCGGAAUCGCAUAGUAAUCGUGCAUCGGUAGUGGCACGGUGAUAUACGUUCCCGAGGCAACUUAAGCUACAUACCGCCCGUCACGCCCUAGGGAGUGGACUGCACCAGCAGUGGUUAGCCUAACUUCGGACCUUGCGCUAUCGGAUGAGCUUAUGUCGGAUUAGCUGGUUGGUGAGGUAACGGCUCACCAAGGCGACGAUCCGUAGCUGGUCUGAGAGGAUGAUCAGCCACAUCGGGACUGAGACACGGCCCGAACUCCUACGGGAGGCAGCAGUGGGGAAUAUUGGACAAUGGGGGCAACCCUGAUCCAGCCAUGCCGCGUGUGUGAAGAAGGCCCUCGGGUUGUAAAGCACUUUCAGCGAGGAAGAAUGCUUGUCGGUUAAUACCCGGCAAGGGAGACAUCACUCGCAGAAGAAGCACCGGCUAACUCCGUGCCAGCAGCCGCGGUAAUACGGAGGGUGCGAGCGUUAAUCGGAAUUACUGGGCGUAAAGCGUGCGUAGGCGGCUUGAUAAGCCGGUUGUGAAAGCCCCGGGCUCAACCUGGGAACGGCAUCCGGAACUGUCAGGCUAGAGUGCAGGAGAGGAAGGUAGAAUUCCCGGUGUAGCGGUGAAAUGCGUAGAGAUCGGGAGGAAUACCAGUGGCGAAGGCGGCCUUCUGGACUGACACUGACGCUGAGGUAC